GAUGAACGCUAGCGGCAGGCUUAAUACAUGCAAGUCGAGGGGCAGCAGGUCCCGCAGCAAUGCGGGAUGCUGGCGACCGGCAAACGGGUGCGGAACACGUACAGAACCUUCCUUUAAGUGGGGAAUAGCCCGGGGAAACCCGGAUUAAUACCCCGUAACAUAAUGAAGUGGCAUCACUUUAUUAUUAUAGCAGCAAUGCGCUUGAAGAUGGCUGUGCGGCUGAUUAGGUAGUUGGCGGGGUAACGGCCCACCAAGCCCACGAUCAGUAACUGGUGGGAGAGCACGACCAGUCACACGGGCACUGAGACACGGGCCCGACUCCUACGGGAGGCAGCAGUAAGGAAUAUUGGGCAAUGGACGCAAGUCUGACCCAGCCAUGCCGCGUGGAGGAUGAAGGUCCUCUGGAUUGUAAACUUCUUUUAUCUGGGAAGAAAUCUAUUUUUUCUAAAGUAGUUGACGGUACCAGAUGAAUAAGCACCGGCUAACUCCGUGCCAGCCGCCGCGGUAA
This 508-nucleotide ribosomal RNA is filed under the name uncultured bacterium. RNAcentral describes it as "partial 16S ribosomal RNA". It matches the Rfam family "Bacterial small subunit ribosomal RNA", at positions 28 to 523 of the family's 1533-position model. The record is from RNAcentral.